GCACCCCGGCUUCGGC
This 16-nucleotide non-coding RNA is filed under the name Pectobacterium atrosepticum. Lineage: Bacteria; Pseudomonadati; Pseudomonadota; Gammaproteobacteria; Enterobacterales; Pectobacteriaceae. The record is from RNAcentral.